Molecule: ribosomal RNA, 233 nt
Filed under: uncultured bacterium
Lineage: Bacteria
Description: partial 16S ribosomal RNA
Rfam family: Bacterial small subunit ribosomal RNA
Source: RNAcentral
UCCACGCCGUAAACGAUGCGCACUAGGUAUGGGAGGCUCUGACGCCGACCGUGCCGAAGCAAAAGUGUUAAGUGCGCCGCCUGGGGAGUACGGCCGCAAGGCUAAAACUCAAAGGAAUUGACGGGGGCUCACACAAGCGGUGGAGCAUGUGGAUUAAUUCGAAGCAACGCGAAGAACCUUACCUGGGUUUGACAUGUAUGGAUGCUCUCUUUGAAAGAGGAGCAGGCUGCCCU